Molecule: non-coding RNA, 107 nt
Organism: Triticum aestivum (bread wheat)
Lineage: Eukaryota; Viridiplantae; Streptophyta; Magnoliopsida; Poales; Poaceae
Source: Rfam
GUGAGCCGUAUGAUGGGCAACUAUCUCCUGCGGUUCGGAGAGGACUCAGCUGUUAGUUAGUACCCCCUUGGUUUUGGGGUGGACCCUUUCACUAUAUUUUAUUAUAU